CUGAAGGAGAUGUCACCCUGAGGUGCUGGGCCAUGGGCUUCUACCCGAAGGAGAUCACCUUGAUUUGGCAGAGGGAUGGGGAAGAUCACACCCAGGACAUGGAACUUGUGGAGACCAGGCCUGCAGGGACUUUCCAGAAGUGGGCAGCUGUGGUGGUGCCUGCUGGGGAGGAGCAGAGAUACACAUGCCAUGUGCAUCAUGAGGGGCUGACUGAGCCCGCACCCUGAGAUGGGGUAAGGAGAUGAGGUCACAGAGCGGCUUGUCAGUGAAAGCAGGAGCUGUUCUCUGCAGGRUCAAGGGCCUGAACCUCGCUUGCCUUCUGUUUCCAGAGUCACGUCCUCAGCUCAUCAUCUACAUUGUGGGAAUCAUUGCUGGCCUGGUUGUCCUUGGAGCUGCGGUUGUUAUUGCAAUUUGGUUGAAGAUGAACCACACAAGGGAAGAGGAGUCAUGAGACAGCUGCCUGUGUGGGAUUGAGCGACAUAAGACUUGUUCAGGCCUCCUCUUUGUGACUUGAAGAACCUUGGAUCUCUUUCUGCAGAGGUAUCUAAAUAUGCCCACAUUCCUACUGGCAUAAUGUGAGGAGGUGGGGAGACCAGCACACUCCUUCCCACCAGGAUUCCUUUUACCACACUGAACUGUGUUCCCUUUCACAAUCAACCUUCUUCUUCAGCAAAGGCAGGGCUAGGUUGUCUCCAUCCCUGUCUCCACGUCAUGGUGCCCUGAGCUACAGCUUCUUAACUUCUGUAGUAAAAAUAAGAACCUGAGCAUAAAUUUAUUUUUUCAAAUUCUUUUUAUUGAUUUUUAAUUUUAUUUUUUGAUUUUAGUGCAUUUAUUUGUGCAUAAUAGUGGGAUUCAUUUUGACAUAUUCAUAACUGCAUCUAAUGCAAUUUUCUCCAUUUCUAUCUCCUUCUCUCCCAUCCUCCCUCUCCACUGAUCCUUUCUUUCUACUCUAUUGGUUUUACUUCUGUUUAUUUGUUUUUUAAUUGGUGCACUAUAUAUAUAUAUAUAUAUAUAUAUAAUUGCAACACAUUGUGAUAUAUUCAUACAUGAGCAUAGCAUAAUUUGUUAACUUUAUUCCCCAAUUUUUUCCCUUUCCCUCCCCAGAUUCCUCUACUUGAUCCCUUGUUUUACUCUAUUGCUCUUUUGUAUUUUUGUGAGAUCUCCCCCACUAGAUUUUUUUCCCCUCUCUAGAUUGUGCAUAUGAGAAAAAACAUUUACUUUGACUUUCUAAGUCUGAGUCCUUGACUUUCUGAGUCUGGCUUAUUUCACUUGGCAUGAUGAUCUUCAGUUCCACCAAUUUACCAGGAAAUGACAUCAUUUCAUUGUUCUUUAUGGCUGAGUGGAACUCAUUGUGUAUAUACAUCACAUUUUCUUUAUCCAUUUCUCUACUGAUGGGUWCUUAGGCUGGUUCUAUAACUUGGCUAUUGUGAAUCAUGCUGCUAUAAACAUUG
Molecule: long non-coding RNA, 1451 nt
Filed under: Urocitellus parryii (Arctic ground squirrel)
Lineage: Eukaryota; Metazoa; Chordata; Mammalia; Rodentia; Sciuridae
Description: lncRNA (ENSUPAG00010003163.1)
Source: RNAcentral